Molecule: ribosomal RNA, 1500 nt
Filed under: Triticum aestivum (bread wheat)
Lineage: Eukaryota; Viridiplantae; Streptophyta; Magnoliopsida; Poales; Poaceae
Description: partial small subunit ribosomal RNA
Source: RNAcentral
AUGGAGGUGGAAUUGUCCUUCCUCCAAGACUUGUUCUAUAGCAAGCAUUCCGCUAUGUUUGCUGACGGAUUUCCAUACAGGAGAAUGCUCAUGUCUUUGUCUCUUGUUGCUGCUACCGGCUACCUUGUAUAUCCUGUCCGUCAUAUACCAGAGAGGAUGGAUCAAGCAGACAAAAAUAUCAUCACUCACGGGGUGAUGGUCACUCGCAUCAUAGUUGGUCUUAUCAUUGCCAAGGAGCUGUCAGAGGUCUAUCUAUAUGUAUUCUCUCAAUGGAACAAGGUUCUGAUGAUCUGUAUGUACGUCAAGCAUCGGUGCUGGCGGAACCUGAUAGUGGAGGCAGUAAUGCGAACGAUGUUCUGGUUCAUCAGGGGCAAGUGGGAUCAAAGGAUCUUCCAGUAUAACCUUCUGAUUUCUGAUUCGCAUCGUUGGAACAAAUUUCACAGAAUAUUCAAGUUGGCCAAAUUUCCCACAAGAAUGAAGCUGGAGUCAGAGGUAAAGACGGCGAUACUUGAGUCGUUCAAGGGCCUGCAGCAUCCAGAAAGAAAGUUGGAAACCUACUUAUUAAAUGCCUUCGGAUCAAACGAGGCCCUUAUGCAGCAGCUAAGAAGGGCAAAUGGGCCGGAGUCAAAUGAAUCCCUUAUGCAGCAGCUAACAGGGGCAAAUGAUACCCACAGCAUACUGGUCUGGCACAUCGCAACAUGCUUGUGCGAGAUACAUACCUCUGAUGAAGCGAAAAACCCGAAGGUUAGAUGGCUUCGAAACAGGCUCUUGGCCAAGAAAUCAACAAUUCCAGAAGAUGUGUGGCCACAUUACUUAACUGCUGUCAGCUUAUCGAAUUAUUGUGCAUACCUGCUUACCAUAGCAUUGGUGCCGGACAACGGCAUUGUUGUUAGAAAGGUCUUGAAUGCGGUGCGUUGUGAAAUCUAUCAUGCUACUGGUCGCUCUGCAUCCCAGUCGAUGCAAAAUGUUUACAGCAAAGUUAUCAAGAUUGCCACGAAGCCCUCUAAAGAGUCCAAGCAGGAGGUGCCCAGUGGAAUGGGUAAUGUAGUAGAACAAGUAGCCCCUGAAAGUUCAGUAAUCCAGGGAGAAGCACUCAGGGUCCAGAUGGCUAAUGAUGAAGAAAAUCCUGAUACAAUGGGAGGUGAUGCCACUAACAGUUCCAUACCAACUACAGAUAGGGACGAUACUAUUGUACGUAAUGAUGAUAUCCAUAAUUCGAUAACCCAGAUGGGUGCAAAGCUUGGGAAGCAGUUGAUAGAUGCUUAUGAAGAAGAUAGAGUAGGCCUUUGGAGGGAUCUAGCAGUGUUUUGGACAGGUUUCCUCCUACACUUGGCAGCAUCAACCAGAGCAGCCAAGCAUAAGACACGACUUGCUGGAAAUAGGGAGCUCAUAACACACCUGUGGAUUUUGCUGUCUCAUGCCGGGUUUCUCGGAAAUGUCAGGCACGGGCAAACAAUCUUAGACCCAGAAGACCUUGAUGACGUCAACCCGCUCAGGUGA